CUCUCUCUCUCUCUCUUUCUUAUUGCAAGGAAGGAGAUGAAGCUAGAAGUUCUUUAGUUGCCUGCUCAUAUAUAAUUGAGAAAAUUUGGAUAUAAUUCAGAAGUCUAUGACUGAAAUGGAAUACAUCAGUAAUGUUCACUGUUAUAUAAAACUUAGAUACACUUACCAGGGACUUCCUAAUUCUUGAUUUGUUCAAUAAAGACUUGAAAAUUCUUGAAAGAUCCACCUGCAGCGAAACUCUUUCUAGCCAUUUCCUUCCGAUUAAAAAGCAUUUGCUUUAUAACAUCGUCCAAAAGCAGUCUUUUUAUUUUGUUUCUAAUCCAUGCCUUGCUAUGAUCCCAUUUUGAUAUGGAUUCAGAUAUUAUGUAAUUGACCUGCAAAGUAAGGCCAACAAAGGAAGGGGAUUCCGCUGCUAAGACCCUCCCAUCCACAAUGGCUCAAGAAGCAUGCAAUACUAGAGAAAGACGAUACUUUCCCUUGUGAAGCCCACUCCAUUAUCUUUCCAUGAUCUGCUACUCUUUCUAUGAACACUUCCUGGAAUUCUGCACACAUUCCAUUAAUGUCUGAUCUAACACAUUCCACUAAACUAUUCUAAAUUGUAGGUUAAUUGAUGUUUAUAGUUCUUGGUCAAGAGGGUUCUGGUUUAGCACUCAUUUGGGCUUGCAUGGGAGCAUGGUUUUUAAAAGGUGAUAACAUAAUAAGAAGGGAGAUCAUUAUCGGUAAAGUUCGAUAGAAUAGUUAUACAAUUUCUUCAGAACCCAAAGAGAGAGUAUUCCAAAAGGCAAACUGAAAUAUAAUAGGCCUGAGAGGAUAUCGCUAAACAAUCAAAACCAUAAAAGAUUAAAAGGAGUAGUAGAAAUGGCCCGUUGAGGAAUUAUUCCAUGUAAAAGUCCCAUGGAACAAAAGCAGAAGAGAAAAUUGAUUUUUGUUGAGAAAAUUUGACAAGAGUUGCCAUGAAAAUGUCCUACUUUCAAGGCAUGGAAUAGCUACGAAACUAGGUUUUCUUCAGCCACUUAGAAUUUCAAUUCCAUGAUAUUGAGGGACUUGUAUCCUUUGGAAUAAUUAUUCCUGCAUAAAAACUCGUACCAUUUUCCUUUCCUUGGAGGCUUCCAAUCAAACCAAAUGUAAAUCUGACCAGGACUUCUGAGAUAUUUCUUUAUUAAAAAUAGUAAAGAAGAAAAAAUCCUAACGAGCUGCCCAUUUAUUAACGGGUUCAAAACAGAGAGCCCUCAAUCAAUUCAACUCAGAUGAAAUACUGUCAAAAGCUAAUAGCCGCAGCCUUUGAUUUAAGAAAAUCGUAACAGAGGUGAUUUGAGAAAAUAUUGUUAAAGCGUUUCAAACUAUAGAAAUUGCAAAGCUUGAGUCGAGACACGAAUUUCAACAUUAUAGGUACACAGUUCCCUCCAUAUUUGUAACAUCAGCACUCACCAGUCAAUAAACUUAGCCUUCAGAAUCAUUAAAUGAAAAGGACCUUAAAUUGUCACUAUUUCUCCUCUAAUCUCAGUGAAGGAAUCUCACUUUUGUGUUUGUGCACUGGGUCGUGUAGGCCCCAAGUAGUUUGUCACCAACCCCAUGAUUGCAAACAUGGAGGCCAUGGAAACCUGUUUCAGGUCAUUCUCAAUAUUUCUCAUGUUGGCAAGUGAUUGGGCACAAAAUAUGAUUGCAAGCCAUGAGCAAAGCUUGUACCUGAACAUGACGCCAGCAACUCCGAAAAUAACGGCGAUGAAACCAGCGUAAUCGACAGGAAGAUCUUGAGGCAAAACCAUAGGCGGCGCGUAAGGCUUCGCCGCCGAUGGCUGGCGUGGAUCGUUCGCCGACGAUGAAGAAUUGUUGUGUGACGACAUGCCCGAUCCCUCUCUCUUUCUGUGUUUGUAUCGCAAUUCGCAACCGAAAAGAGGAGAGAUUGAGGCUUCUCUAUUUUUAUAUAUU
RNAcentral lists this unclassified non-coding RNA (1929 nucleotides) under Hevea brasiliensis (rubber tree). Lineage: Eukaryota; Viridiplantae; Streptophyta; Magnoliopsida; Malpighiales; Euphorbiaceae. The record is from RNAcentral.